This 550-nucleotide ribosomal RNA is filed under the name uncultured bacterium. RNAcentral describes it as "partial 16S ribosomal RNA". It matches the Rfam family "Bacterial small subunit ribosomal RNA", at positions 355 to 895 of the family's 1533-position model. The record is from RNAcentral.
UGGGGAAUUUUGGACAAUGGGCGAAAGCCUGAUCCAGCAAUGCCGCGUGUGUGAAGAAGGCCUUCGGGUUGUAAAGCACUUUUGUCCGGAAAGAAAUCCUUGGCUCUAAUACAGUCGGGGGAUGACGGUACCGGAAGGAUAAGCACCGGCUAACUACGUGCCAGCAGCCGCGGUAAUACGUAGGGUGCAAGCGUUAAUCGGAAUUACUGGGCGUAAAGCGUGCGCAGGCGGUUUGCUAAGACCGAUGUGAAAUCCCCGGGCUCAACCUGGGGAACUGCAUUGGUGACUGGCAGGCUAGAGUAUGGCAGAGGGGGGUAGAAUUCCACGUGUAGCAGUGAAAUGCGUAGAGAUGUGGAGGAAUACGAUGGCGAAGGCAGCCCCCUGGGCCAAUACUGACGCUCAUGCACGAAAGCGUGGGGAGCAAACAGGAUUAGAUACCCUGGUAGUCCACGCCCUAAACGAUGUCAACUAGGUUGUUGGGGAACUUCAUUUCCUUAGUAACGUAGCUAACGCGUGAAGUUGACCGCCUGGGGAGUACGGUCGCAAGAUU